UUGAACGCUGGCGGCAUGCUUUACACAUGCAAGUCGAACGGCAGCGGGGGCUUCGGCCUGCCGGCGAGUGGCGAACGGGUGAGUAAUAUAUCGGAACGUACCCUGUCGUGGGGGAUAACACAUCGAAAGAUGUGCUAAUACCGCAUACGACCUGAGGGUGAAAGCGGGGGAUCGCAAGACCUCGCGCGAUAGGAGCGGCCGAUAUCGGAUUAGCUAGUUGGUGAGGUAAAGGCUCACCAAGGCGACGAUCCGUAGCUGGUCUGAGAGGACGACCAGCCACACUGGAACUGAGACACGGUCCAGACUCCUACGGGAGGCAGCAGUGGGGAAUUUUGGACAAUGGGGGAAACCCUGAUCCAGCCAUUCCGCGUGAGUGAAGAAGGCCUUCGGGUUGUAAAGCUCUUUCAGCCGGAACGAAACGGUACGCUCUAACAUAGCGUGCUAAUGACGGUACCGGCAGAAGAAGCACCGGCUAACUACGU
This 482-nucleotide ribosomal RNA is filed under the name uncultured bacterium. Its description in RNAcentral is "bacterial SSU rRNA". It matches the Rfam family "Bacterial small subunit ribosomal RNA", at positions 30 to 506 of the family's 1533-position model. The record is from RNAcentral.